AGAUUGUACGCUGGCGGCAUGCCUUACACAUGCAAGUCGAACGGCAGCACGGGAGCAAUCCUGGUGGCGAGUGGCGAACGGGUGAGUAAUACAUCGGAACGUGCCCAAUCGUGGGGGAUAACGCAGCGAAAGCUGUGCUAAUACCGCAUAAGAUCUACGGAUGAAAGCGGGGGAUCGCAAGACCUCGCGCGAGUGGAGCGGCCGAUGGCAGAUUAGGUAGUUGGUGAGGUAAAGGCUCACCAAGCCUGCGAUCUGUAGCUGGUCUGAGAGGACGACCAGCCACACUGGAACUGAGACACGGUCCAGACUCCUACGGGAGGCAGCAGUGGGGAAUUUUGGACAAUGGGCGCAAGCCUGAUCCAGCAAUGCCGCGUGCAGGAUGAAGGCCUUCGGGUUGUAAACUGCUUUUGUACGGAACGAAAAGGUCUCUUCUAAUAAAGGGGGCCCAUGACGGUACCGUAAGAAUAAGCACCGGCUAACUACGUGCCAGCAGCCGCGGUAAUACGUAGGGUGCGAGCGUUAAUCGGAAUUACUGGGCGUAAAGCGUGCGCAGGCGGUUAUAUAAGACAGUUGUGAAAUCCCCGGGCUCAACCUGGGAACUGCAUCUGUGACUGUAUAGCUAGAGUACGGUAGAGGGGGAUGGAAUUCCGCGUGUAGCAGUGAAAUGCGUAGAUAUGCGGAGGAACACCGAUGGCGAAGGCAAUCCCCUGGACCUGUACUGACGCUCAUGCACGAAAGCGUGGGGAGCAAACAGGAUUAGAUACCCUGGUAGUCCACGCCCUAAACGAUGUCAACUGGUUGUUGGGAAUUCACUUUCUCAGUAACGAAG
Molecule: ribosomal RNA, 829 nt
Filed under: Comamonadaceae bacterium DP_00080
Lineage: Bacteria; Pseudomonadati; Pseudomonadota; Betaproteobacteria; Burkholderiales; Comamonadaceae
Description: bacterial SSU rRNA
Rfam family: Bacterial small subunit ribosomal RNA
Source: RNAcentral